This 493-nucleotide ribosomal RNA is filed under the name uncultured bacterium. RNAcentral describes it as "partial 16S ribosomal RNA". It matches the Rfam family "Bacterial small subunit ribosomal RNA", at positions 28 to 506 of the family's 1533-position model. The record is from RNAcentral.
GACGAACGCUGGCGGCGUGCUUAACACAUGCAAGUCGAACGGUGAAGCGCCUUCCUUUUUGGUGGGUGUGGAUGAGUGGCGAACGGGUGAGUAACACGUGAGUAACCUGCCCCCUUCUUCUGGAUAACCGCAUGAAAGUGUGGCUAAUACGAGAUAUUCUGGGUCUGUCGCAUGAUGGGUCUGGGAAAGAUAUUGUUUCGGUGGGGGAUGGGCUCGCGGCCUAUCAGCUUGUUGGUGGGGUGAUGGCCUACCAAGGCGGUGACGGGUAGCCGGCCUGAGAGGGUGGACGGUCACACUGGGACUGAGACACGGCCCAGACUCCUACGGGAGGCAGCAGUGGGGAAUAUUGCACAAUGGGCGCAAGCCUGAUGCAGCGACGCCGCGUGAGGGAUGGAGGCCUUCGGGUUGGGAACCUCUUUCGCCAGUGAAGCAGGCCUGCCUCGUUUGUGGGUGGGUUGACGGGAGCUGGAUAAGAAGCGCCGGCUAACUACGU